GACGAACGCUGGCGGCGUGCUUAACACAUGCAAGUCGAACGGAAAGGCCCUGCUUUUGUGGGGUGCUCGAGUGGCGAACGGGUGAGUAACACGUGAGUAACCUGCCCUUGACUUUGGGAUAACUUCAGGAAACUGGGGCUAAUACCGGAUAGGAGCUCCUGCUGCAUGGUGGGGGUUGGAAAGUUUCGGCGGUUGGGGAUGGACUCGCGGCUUAUCAGCUUGUUGGUGGGGUAGUGGCUUACCAAGGCUUUGACGGGUAGCCGGCCUGAGAGGGUGACCGGCCACAUUGGGACUGAGAUACGGCCCAGACUCCUACGGGAGGCAGCAGUGGGGAAUAUUGCACAAUGGGCGGAAGCCUGAUGCAGCAACGCCGCGUGCGGGAUGACGGCCUUCGGGUUGUAAACCGCUUUCGCCUGUGACGAAGCGUGAGUGGCGGUAAUGGGUAAAGAAGCACCGGCUAACUGCGUG
This 468-nucleotide ribosomal RNA is filed under the name uncultured bacterium. Its description in RNAcentral is "partial 16S ribosomal RNA". It matches the Rfam family "Bacterial small subunit ribosomal RNA", at positions 28 to 507 of the family's 1533-position model. The record is from RNAcentral.